RNAcentral lists this non-coding RNA (69 nucleotides) under Leifsonia sp. Root112D2. The record is from RNAcentral. RNAcentral also lists the same sequence under 1 other name. Lineage: Bacteria; Bacillati; Actinomycetota; Actinomycetes; Micrococcales; Microbacteriaceae.
GGAUGCGGCGAACGGCGCCGUCUCCCGGACGAGUGAAGCGACGUACCCGGAACGACAAGACGACGCUCU